This 496-nucleotide ribosomal RNA is filed under the name uncultured bacterium. RNAcentral describes it as "partial 16S ribosomal RNA". It matches the Rfam family "Bacterial small subunit ribosomal RNA", at positions 29 to 507 of the family's 1533-position model. The record is from RNAcentral.
AUGAACGCUGGCGGCGUGCCUAAUACAUGCAAGUCGAGCGAACGGACGAGAAGCUUGCUUCUCUGAUGUUAGCGGCGGACGGGUGAGUAACACGUGGAUAACCUACCUAUAAGACUGGGAUAACUUCGGGAAACCGGGGCUAAUACCGGAUAAUAUUUUGAACCGCAUGGUUCAAAAGUGAAAGACGGUCUUGCUGUCACUUAUAGAUGGAUCCGCGCUGCAUUAGCUAGUUGGUAAGGUAACGGCUUACCAAGGCAACGAUGCAUAGCCGACCUGAGAGGGUGAUCGGCCACACUGGAACUGAGACACGGUCCAGACUCCUACGGGAGGCAGCAGUAGGGAAUCUUCCGCAAAGGGCGAAAGCCUGACGGAGCAACGCCGCGUGAGUGAUGAAGGUCUUCGGAUCGUAAAACUCUGUUAUUAGGGAAGAACAUAUGUGUAAGUAACUGUGCACAUCUUGACGGUACCUAAUCAGAAAGCCACGGCUAACUACGUG